RNAcentral lists this ribosomal RNA (2923 nucleotides) under Klebsiella pneumoniae. RNAcentral describes it as "23S ribosomal RNA". It matches the Rfam family "Bacterial large subunit ribosomal RNA". The record is from RNAcentral. Lineage: Bacteria; Pseudomonadati; Pseudomonadota; Gammaproteobacteria; Enterobacterales; Enterobacteriaceae.
GGGUUGUGAGGUUAAGCGACUAAGCGUACACGGUGGAUGCCCUGGCAGUCAGAGGCGAUGAAGGACGUGCUAAUCUGCGAAAAGCGUCGGUAAGGUGAUAUGAACCGUUACAGCCGGCGAUGUCCGAAUGGGGAAACCCAGUGUGAUUCGUCACACUAUCGUUAACUGAAUACAUAGGUUAACGAGGCGAACCGGGGGAACUGAAACAUCUAAGUACCCCGAGGAAAAGAAAUCAACCGAGAUUCCCCCAGUAGCGGCGAGCGAACGGGGAGUAGCCCAGAGUCUGAAUCAGCUUGUGUGUUAGUGGAACGGUCUGGAAAGUCCGACGGUACAGGGUGAUAGUCCCGUACACCAAAAUGCACAGGUUGUGAACUCGAAGAGUAGGGCGGGACACGUGGUAUCCUGUCUGAAUAUGGGGGGACCAUCCUCCAAGGCUAAAUACUCCUGACUGACCGAUAGUGAACCAGUACCGUGAGGGAAAGGCGAAAAGAACCCCGGCGAGGGGAGUGAAAAAGAACCUGAAACCGUGUACGUACAAGCAGUGGGAGCACCUUCGGGUGUGACUGCGUACCUUUUGUAUAAUGGGUCAGCGACUUAUAUUCUGUAGCAAGGUUAACCGUAUAGGGGAGCCGCAGGGAAACCGAGUCUUAACUGGGCGUUAAGUUGCAGGGUAUAGACCCGAAACCCGGUGAUCUAGCCAUGGGCAGGUUGAAGGUUGGGUAACACUAACUGGAGGACCGAACCGACUAAUGUUGAAAAAUUAGCGGAUGACUUGUGGCUGGGGGUGAAAGGCCAAUCAAACCGGGAGAUAGCUGGUUCUCCCCGAAAGCUAUUUAGGUAGCGCCUCGUGAACUCAUCUUCGGGGGUAGAGCACUGUUUCGGCUAGGGGGUCAUCCCGACUUACCAACCCGAUGCAAACUACGAAUACCGAAGAAUGUUAUCACGGGAGACACACGGCGGGUGCUAACGUCCGUCGUGAAGAGGGAAACAACCCAGACCGCCAGCUAAGGUCCCAAAGUCAUGGUUAAGUGGGAAACGAUGUGGGAAGGCACAGACAGCCAGGAUGUUGGCUUAGAAGCAGCCAUCAUUUAAAGAAAGCGUAAUAGCUCACUGGUCGAGUCGGCCUGCGCGGAAGAUGUAACGGGGCUAAACCAUGCACCGAAGCUGCGGCAGCGACACUAUGUGUUGUUGGGUAGGGGAGCGUUCUGUAAGCCUGCGAAGGUGUGCUGUGAGGCAUGCUGGAGGUAUCAGAAGUGCGAAUGCUGACAUAAGUAACGAUAAAGCGGGUGAAAAGCCCGCUCGCCGGAAGACCAAGGGUUCCUGUCCAACGUUAAUCGGGGCAGGGUGAGUCGACCCCUAAGGCGAGGCCGAAAGGCGUAGUCGAUGGGAAACAGGUUAAUAUUCCUGUACUUGGUGUUACUGCGAAGGGGGGACGGAGAAGGCUAUGUUAGCCGGGCGACGGUUGUCCCGGUUUAAGCAUGUAGGCUGAUUGUCCAGGCAAAUCCGGAUAAUCAAGGCUGAGGUGUGAUGACGAGGCACUACGGUGCUGAAGUAACAAAUGCCCUGCUUCCAGGAAAAGCCUCUAAGCAUCAGGUAACAUCAAAUCGUACCCCAAACCGACACAGGUGGUCAGGUAGAGAAUACCAAGGCGCUUGAGAGAACUCGGGUGAAGGAACUAGGCAAAAUGGUGCCGUAACUUCGGGAGAAGGCACGCUGGUGUGUAGGUGAAGCCCCUGCGGGUGGAGCUGAGACCAGUCGAAGAUACCAGCUGGCUGCAACUGUUUAUUAAAAACACAGCACUGUGCAAACACGAAAGUGGACGUAUACGGUGUGACGCCUGCCCGGUGCCGGAAGGUUAAUUGAUGGGGUUAUCCGUAAGGAGAAGCUCUUGAUCGAAGCCCCGGUAAACGGCGGCCGUAACUAUAACGGUCCUAAGGUAGCGAAAUUCCUUGUCGGGUAAGUUCCGACCUGCACGAAUGGCGUAAUGAUGGCCAGGCUGUCUCCACCCGAGACUCAGUGAAAUUGAACUCGCUGUGAAGAUGCAGUGUACCCGCGGCAAGACGGAAAGACCCCGUGAACCUUUACUAUAGCUUGACACUGAACAUUGAGCCUUGAUGUGUAGGAUAGGUGGGAGGCUUUGAAGCGUGGACGCCAGUCUGCGUGGAGCCAACCUUGAAAUACCACCCUUUAAUGUUUGAUGUUCUAACGUUGGCCCCUGACCGGGGUUGCGGACAGUGUCUGGUGGGUAGUUUGACUGGGGCGGUCUCCUCCCAAAGCGUAACGGAGGAGCACGAAGGUUAGCUAAUCCUGGUCGGACAUCAGGAGGUUAGUGCAAUGGCAUAAGCUAGCUUGACUGCGAGCGUGACGGCGCGAGCAGGUGCGAAAGCAGGUCAUAGUGAUCCGGUGGUUCUGAAUGGAAGGGCCAUCGCUCAACGGAUAAAAGGUACUCCGGGGAUAACAGGCUGAUACCGCCCAAGAGUUCAUAUCGACGGCGGUGUUUGGCACCUCGAUGUCGGCUCAUCACAUCCUGGGGCUGAAGUAGGUCCCAAGGGUAUGGCUGUUCGCCAUUUAAAGUGGUACGCGAGCUGGGUUUAGAACGUCGUGAGACAGUUCGGUCCCUAUCUGCCGUGGGCGCUGGAGAAUUGAGGGGGGCUGCUCCUAGUACGAGAGGACCGGAGUGGACGCAUCACUGGUGUUCGGGUUGUCAUGCCAAUGGCACUGCCCGGUAGCUAAAUGCGGAAGAGAUAAGUGCUGAAAGCAUCUAAGCACGAAACUUGCCCCGAGAUGAGUUCUCCCUGAGACUUUAAGUCUCCUGAAGGAACGUUGAAGACGACGACGUUGAUAGGCCGGGUGUGUAAGCGCAGCGAUGCGUUGAGCUAACCGGUACUAAUGAACCGUGAGGCUUAACCUUACAACGCCGAAG